This 395-nucleotide ribosomal RNA is filed under the name uncultured Gammaproteobacteria bacterium. Its description in RNAcentral is "bacterial SSU rRNA". It matches the Rfam family "Bacterial small subunit ribosomal RNA", at positions 9 to 416 of the family's 1533-position model. Lineage: Bacteria; Pseudomonadati; Pseudomonadota; Gammaproteobacteria. The record is from RNAcentral.
GAGUUUGAUCUUGGCUCAGAACGAACGCUGGCGGCAUGCCUAACACAUGCAAGUCGAACGAUGCCUUCGGGCAUAGUGGCGCACGGGUGCGUAACGCGUAGGAACCUACCUGGUAAUGGGGGAUAACUCGGGGAAACUCGAGCUAAUACCGCAUACGCUCUACGGAGGAAAGAGGGCCUCUAUUUAUAAGCUCUCGUUAUCAGAGGGGCCUGCGUUGGAUUAGCUAGUUGGUAGGGUAAAGGCCUACCAAGGCGACGAUCCAUAGCUGGUCUGAGAGGACGAUCAGCCACACUGGAACUGAGACACGGUCCAGACUCCUACGGGAGGCAGCAGUGGGGAAUCUUGGGCAAUGGGCGCAAGCCUGACCCAGCCAUGCCGCGUGUGCGAAGAAGGCC